This 24-nucleotide unclassified non-coding RNA is filed under the name Mus musculus (house mouse). RNAcentral's name for it is "oocyte_clustered_small_RNA6592". The record is from RNAcentral. Lineage: Eukaryota; Metazoa; Chordata; Mammalia; Rodentia; Muridae.
CUUGUCACUUCAGGAUGCUCAUGG